This is a long non-coding RNA of Bufo gargarizans (Asiatic toad), 1609 nucleotides long. RefSeq lists it as uncharacterized. The record is from RefSeq and is a predicted model, not a curated record. The transcript has 4 exons. NCBI's taxonomy places the organism in Eukaryota, Metazoa, Chordata, Amphibia, Anura, Bufonidae.
AGAACUGCAAGGGUUAAUCCAGAGGAGAAAAGAGACAAGUCGGGUCAGGAAAUAGGAAGUCAAACCAAUAAUCAAGCACACCAGAAUGAAGGACAAUAGCUGGCAUUGGAUAAACAGCACAGCAGAUUCAAAUAAAGAGCCAAGUUCCCAGAUUGGCUGCACUAAACCUCCCCUAAGCGGACAAUCAGCUGGACCUCUGGAGUGGCUGGACAUCUGAGCACCAUGACUGACCGAGUGAAGGAGGAUGGAAACAGCCUCAUCCCUGUUACAAGAAAACUAUGUAUCCUUCAUAGUUGAGUCGUUACUAUGGGUUAGGGAGCAUCCACACGACCGCAUGUAUUUUGCAAGUCCGAGUACUGUCGAUGUGCUUUCCGCAUCCAUAUGUUCAUUCCACAAGAGAUAGAAGAUAUCCCAUUCUUGGUUACAAAUGCAGACCAUGGACCCACUGAAGUCAAUGAGUGCACAAAAAAGCUCAUUUUGGUGGCUGCUGCACUAAAGUUGAACUGUUAACUGUGACAUGCCAAAUUACUGAAGAAUAUGCUGCUAAUGUUUCUGCACAAGCUCACUGCACCUGCCUUUCCACCAAUGAGGAACUCCAGCCUGUACCAUCAUAUCUCGUAAACUUCCUAAAAAGCAAGUGGAAGAGCCUCAAAGAUGCCUUCAUUUGUCAUCGACGCAAAGAGAAGGAACAGAGGAGUGGAGCUUCGCCAAGUGCACGGUCCAGCUAUGUCCAUGCUGAGGAAAUGGCCUUUCUAAUACCAUGCACUGAAAUGCAUAGCACCGAUAGUAGCUGGUCGAAAAGACAACAGCAGGAGGAGGUCACCAGGGACAGUGAGGCAUGUGCGUCUACGGGGCCACUAAGUCCUCCUCCACCCGAUUCCACCCCUACAUUCCAAACACCCACACAGCCUACCCCACUUGUCGUGGAACCCUAAAACAUUCGGACUCACCGUUCAAAACAGAAAAGAACCGAUCGCCAGGAGGACCGGCUAAUUGCAUGCCUGGAUGCACUUGCCCAUCCAGCACCCAAACUCACUAGUGAUGCACUUUUCUUCCUGAGUGUGGAGGAAAAAAUGCUGCUAGUUCCCCGAAGUCGCAUAACUGAAGCGAGGGAGGCCUUAACAAGGACUGUAGACAGCUUCAUUACACAUUAUGACAUCACACAGCCCAACAAUGCACCACAACAUCCACCACAACAUCCACCACAACAUCCACCACCACAUCCACCACAAUAUCCACCACAAUAUCCACCACAACAUCCACCACCCACUCACACAUACACAUCACAAACAUACCCACAAACUAACAUACCACACCCUCACGACACAUGGCACACACAAACACAAUCAUCAUACAGCUAUCCAUCCACCAGCAUGGGCACCAACACCUCCACCACCACUCAAAUGCAACCUGCCCAGCAAUCAGGCGGAAUGAGAGAGGCCAUGCGGGAUAACGAGCCACAAUACCAAAACCUUUGAGAAGUAGCAUACAAAAUUUGGUGCAUCAGGGGUGUUCUUCCUUCAUUGUUAAUAUCGGAAAGUUACCGAAUAAUUUUAAGUUAAAAAUUACAAAACUUAUGUUGAUUGUGUUAGGCUCCUUUCACACUAGC